GCCGGGCAUGGUGACGUGUGCCUGUAGUCCCAGCUACUCGGGAGGCUGAGGUGGGAGGAUCACUUGAGCCUAGGAGUUCUGGGCUGUAGUACGCUAUGCCAAUUGGGUGUCCGCACUAAGUUCGGCAUCAAUGUGGUGACCUCACAGGGGUGGGGGACCACCAGAUUGCCUAAGGAGGGGUGAACCGGCCCAGGUCAGAAACAGAGCAGGUCAAAACUCCCGUGCUGAUCAGUAGUGGGAUUGCGCCUGUGAAUAGCCACUGCACUGCAGCCUGGGCAACACAGCGAGACCCCGUCUUA
This 299-nucleotide signal recognition particle RNA is filed under the name Saimiri boliviensis boliviensis (Bolivian squirrel monkey). Its description in RNAcentral is "Metazoan signal recognition particle RNA (ENSSBOG00000000605.1)". It matches the Rfam family "Metazoan signal recognition particle RNA". From Rfam's summary of the family: The signal recognition particle (SRP) is a universally conserved ribonucleoprotein. It is involved in the co-translational targeting of proteins to membranes. The eukaryotic SRP consists of a 300-nucleotide 7S RNA and six proteins: SRPs 72, 68, 54, 19, 14, and 9. The record is from RNAcentral. Lineage: Eukaryota; Metazoa; Chordata; Mammalia; Primates; Cebidae.